GACGAACGCUGGCGGCGUGCUUAACACAUGCCAGUCGAACGGUGAAGCGCCUUCCUUUUUGGUGGGUGUGGAUGAGUGGCGAACGGGUGAGUAACACGUGAGUAACCUACCCCCUUCUUCUGGAUAACCGCAUGAAAGUGUGGCUAAUACGGGAUAUUCUGGGUCUGUCGCAUGAUGGGUCUGGGAAAGAUAUUGUUUCGGUGGGGGAUGGGCUCGCGGCCUAUCAGCUUGUUGGUGGGGUGAUGGCCUACCAAGGCGGUGACGGGUAGCCGGCCUGAGAGGGUGGACGGUCACACUGGGACUGAGACACGGCCCAGACUCCUACGGGAGGCAGCAGUGGGGAAUAUUGCACAAUGGGCGCAAGCCUGAUGCAGCGACGCCGCGUGAGGGAUGGAGGCCUUCGGGUUGUGAACCUCUUUCGCCAGUGAAGCAGGCCUGCCUCGUUUGUGGGUGGGUUGACGGUAGCUGGAUAAGAAGCGCCGGCUAACUACGUG
Molecule: ribosomal RNA, 494 nt
Filed under: uncultured bacterium
Lineage: Bacteria
Description: partial 16S ribosomal RNA
Rfam family: Bacterial small subunit ribosomal RNA
Source: RNAcentral